RNAcentral lists this long non-coding RNA (344 nucleotides) under Homo sapiens (human). Its description in RNAcentral is "HSALNT0014159". Lineage: Eukaryota; Metazoa; Chordata; Mammalia; Primates; Hominidae. The record is from RNAcentral.
AAGGGUUUGUAGAUUUCCUCCUUCAUUCUAAUUUCAGUGUCUAAAAUUCUUGCAUCCAUGAACGAGCUGGGCAUUUGAUGAGACAGGGCUGAAUACUUUAGUUUUCCUCCUGGAAAUCAUCUGGGGCAUUUUCUUUGAACUGAUGGGAACAAUAAAGCAUAACUGUUUGCACAAACUUGGGAUAAAUGAUUUUGGGAUAACGAUGUACCAGAAUGGGGAUAUUUCACCCUUGGUUCUGAGAUGCAAACCAAAGAAUAUCAUGACCAGCUUUCAGGCCUCCUGAAGUAUAUCUCUCACAUUGUCCUGUUCUCAUGCUGAGGAGCCUGAGAUCCCUGUGUGGGGAU